GAUGAACGCUGGCGGCGUGCCUAAUACAUGCAAGUCGAGCGAACGGACGAGAAGCUUGCUUCUCUGAUGUUAGCGGCGGACGGGUGAGUAACACGUGGAUAACCUACCUAUAAGACUGAUAUAACUUCGGGAAACCGGAGCUAAUACCGGAUAAUAUUUUGAACCGCAUGGUUCAAAAGUGAAAUACGGUCUUGCUGUCACUUAUCGAUGGAUCCCGGCUGCAUUAGCUAGUUGGUAAGUUCACGGCUUACCAAGGCAACGAUGCAUAGCCGACCUGUGAGGGUGAUAGGCGACCCGGGAACGGGGACAGGGUCCAGAGGCCUACGGGAGGCAGCAGUAGGGUAUCGGCCGCAAUGGGCGAAAGCAUGACGGAGCAACGGCGAGUGAGAGAUGACGGUGUUGGGAGCGGAAAACUCUGUUAUUAGGGAUGAACAUAUGUGUAAGUAAAUGUGCACAGCUUGACGGUAACUAAUCAGAAAGCCACGGCUAACUACGUG
This 497-nucleotide ribosomal RNA is filed under the name uncultured bacterium. Its description in RNAcentral is "partial 16S ribosomal RNA". It matches the Rfam family "Bacterial small subunit ribosomal RNA", at positions 28 to 507 of the family's 1533-position model. The record is from RNAcentral.